UGCCAGCAGACGCGGUAAUACGUAUGUGGCAAGGGUUGUUAGGAAUCACUGGGCAUAAAGAGUUCGUAGGCGGAUGUAUCAGUUGGGUGUGAAAUCCCGGGGCUUACCCCCGGAACUGCACCCAAUACUGUAUAUCUGGAGUCCUUCAGGGGUAAGUGGAAUUCCAUGUGUAGCGGUGAAAUGCGUAGAUAUAUGGGAGAACGCCUAUGGCGAAGGCAGCUUACUGGGGAGUGACUGACGCUGAGGAACGAAAGUUAGGGUAUCGAACGGGAUUAGAUA
This 279-nucleotide ribosomal RNA is filed under the name uncultured bacterium. Its description in RNAcentral is "partial 16S ribosomal RNA". It matches the Rfam family "Bacterial small subunit ribosomal RNA", at positions 506 to 784 of the family's 1533-position model. The record is from RNAcentral.